Molecule: ribosomal RNA, 495 nt
Filed under: uncultured bacterium
Lineage: Bacteria
Description: partial 16S ribosomal RNA
Rfam family: Bacterial small subunit ribosomal RNA
Source: RNAcentral
GAUGAACGCUGGCGGCGUGCCUAAUACAUGCAAGUAGAACGCUGAAGGAGGAGCUUGCUCUUCUGGAUGAGUUGCGAACGGGUGAGUAACGCGUAGGUAACCUGCCUGGUAGCGGGGGAUAACUAUUGGAAACGAUAGCUAAUACCGCAUGACAACAGUUAUUGCAUGAUAACUGUUUAAAAGGGGCAACUGCUCCACUACCAGAUGGACCUGCGUUGUAUUAGCUAGUUGGUGAGGUAACGGCUCACCAAGGCGACGAUACAUAGCCGACCUGAGAGGGUGAUCGGCCACACUGGGACUGAGACACGGCCCAGACUCCUACGGGAUGCAGCAGUAGGGAAUCUUCGGCAAUGGACGGAAGUCUGACCGAGCAACGCCGCGUGAGUGAAGAAGGUUUUCGGAUCGUAAAGCUCUGUUGUAAGAGAAGAACGAGUGUGAGAGUGGAAAGUUCACACUGUGACGGUAUCUUACCAGAAAGGGACGGCUAACUACGUG